RNAcentral lists this small RNA (40 nucleotides) under Vibrio cholerae O1 biovar El Tor str. N16961. Lineage: Bacteria; Pseudomonadati; Pseudomonadota; Gammaproteobacteria; Vibrionales; Vibrionaceae. The record is from RNAcentral.
AAUUACCAAAUCCCAUAAACUAUCUUUUUCAACUUCAUUU